CUACUGUAGAAAAUUUCUGGGUACAUGGAUACAUGUAUUUAUAAUCCUUUUGCUAAAUCAUUUUUUUCGAUACCAAUUUGGAUUUAUUUUUGCUUGUUUGUCAUAAAAAUGAUGCUUUUGUUAAUUCUUGCACGUCCCUAUUGGGGCGCGGCCCAGAGUUUGGAAAAUACUGGUUUACAGCAUUAUACAAGCAUCUGCUCACAAGAGUAUAUUGAAUGUAUACAGAUCAAUUUUUCUUCGCAGUAGUCAAUUUCUUGAGACAUAAACAGAUGUCAUCUUAAUGUUACUGUUGAAUUUUCAGCAUCAGUGAUUUGAAUAAUUUCGCAAAGUUUACAACUUUGUAAACAGUCCAAAAUAAUGUGAAGAUUUUAUACGUUAGUUUUUUUUAUUCUUUUAAUAAUG
RNAcentral lists this long non-coding RNA (402 nucleotides) under Androctonus crassicauda. Lineage: Eukaryota; Metazoa; Arthropoda; Arachnida; Scorpiones; Buthidae. The record is from RNAcentral.